AGGACGAACGCUGGCGGCGUGCUUAACACAUGCAAGUCGAGCGGAAAGGCCCUUCGGGGUACUCGAGCGGCGAACGGGUGAGUAACACGUGAGUAAUCUGCCCCUAGCUCUGGGAUAGCUCCGGGAAACCGGGAUUAAUACCAGAUACGACCACUUUAGACAUCUGUUGUGGUGGAAAGAAUUUCGGCUAGGGAUGAACUCGCGGCCUAUCAGCUUGUUGGUGGGGUAAUGGCCUACCAAGGCGACGACGGGUA
RNAcentral lists this ribosomal RNA (254 nucleotides) under uncultured bacterium. Its description in RNAcentral is "partial small subunit ribosomal RNA". It matches the Rfam family "Bacterial small subunit ribosomal RNA", at positions 26 to 285 of the family's 1533-position model. The record is from RNAcentral.